CGCUUAGGCGUGUGACUGCGUACCUUUUGUAUAAUGGGUCAGCGACUUAUAUUCUGUAGCAAGGUUAACCGAAUAGGGGAGCCGAAGGGAAACCGAGUCUUAACUGGGCGUUAAGUUGCAGGGUAUAGACCCGAAACCCGGUGAUCUAGCCAUGGGCAGGUUGAAGGUUGGGUAACACUAACUGGAGGACCGAACCGACUAAUGUUGAAAAAUUAGCGGAUGACUUGUGGCUGGGGGUGAAAGGCCAAUCAAACCGGGAGAUAGCUGGUUCUCCCCGAAAGCUAUUUAGGUAGCGCCUCGUGAAUUCAUCUCCGGGGGUAGAGCACUGUUUCGGCAAGGGGGUCAUCCCGACUUACCAACCCGAUGCAAACUGCGAAUACCGGAGAAUGUUAUCACGGGAGACACACGGCGGGUGCUAACGUCCGUCGUGAAGAGGGAAACAACCCAGACCGCCAGCUAAGGUCCCAAAGUCAUGGUUAAGUGGGAAACGAUGUGGGAAGGCCCAGACAGCCAGGAUGUUGGCUUAGAAGCAGCCAUCAUUUAAAGAAAGCGUAAUAGCUCACUGGUCGAGUCGGCCUGCGCGGAAGAUGUAACGGGGCUAAACCAUGCACCGAAGCUGCGGCAGCGACGCUGAUGCGUUGUUGGGUAGGGGAGCGUUCUGUAAGCCUG
Molecule: ribosomal RNA, 669 nt
Filed under: Escherichia coli
Lineage: Bacteria; Pseudomonadati; Pseudomonadota; Gammaproteobacteria; Enterobacterales; Enterobacteriaceae
Description: partial 23S ribosomal RNA
Rfam family: Bacterial large subunit ribosomal RNA
Source: RNAcentral